GCCAUCCACGGUCGGAGGGAGACAGAGACCACCGGAAAAUUAGAGUUUGAACUCUUCCCCCAGAAAUUUUCAUCAAAUUUUUAACAUUCCCAAAUUUCCACCGAGUUUCCGUUGAGAACAGAACGUCACCAAGCAAAGGAAGUUGGACAUCGAUUGCAAAUUGUGAAGCAGUCCGGAUUCGACGGGGGAAGAUUUUUUUUACUCUGGAACACACGUCUCUCGCCCAUAUUUUUGAGGAGGAACUUCCGACCAUCGAAACACGACGGAAUGUGGGUCAACCAGCCCCACAAGGGGAAAAUCGCUCGUAGCCCAGAAAGCUACGUCCCCACAAGGAAGAAAGUGGAGAGAGGGGAAAGUUCUCCAGAGAAGGGACAAUUUCCUCCCCACUCCGCCCAACCAAAGCCAACAGCACGUGGCGAUAACCACGUGUCCACACCUUCAGCCAGCAGCAGGUCAUCAAAACCCAUGAAAUUGCAGCAAGUUGGCCGAAAGGGGAAGAAGCGUGGUGGUCACGUGGUGGGGAAAGUCUUCCCAUGCAAAAUAUGCCCUUCACCAACCCAACCAGUGCUCACUUCCACGCCCGCACCCACCUCAACCCCGACGAGCUGGAGCAGUCCACACUUUUCCAUGAAAAGUGCCCCCACGGCCGAAAAGUGUUCUUCACUCGUGGAGUCUUUGUCGACCACGUGAAUUCCCACGAAGGCCGGAAACCCGGGGACGACGACAUAUUUCACCGUGAACGGUCAAUUUGUGCAUCACACUUAAAUCGUGUAUGUUGCCGGUUGCAUAUCGAAACGGACCAAGCAUAAUUUUCAUACCGGUGGAAACUUCCGGUUUAGUUGAGAAAAUCAGGCAUUGUUUCUGUCCAGAUAGAACCGGAGGAUGAGAACAAAUCUAGCCAUGUAAGUCAGCGAGACAGAUUUUGCAUGAAUAUUUCCUUCAGCAAUAUGGAUCAGAAAUAAAAAAUUGCACAUAUAAAAGGAUGAUCAGUUAACAACAAAUAUACCCAAUU
Long non-coding RNA from Folsomia candida, 1012 nucleotides. RefSeq lists it as uncharacterized. The record is from RefSeq and is a predicted model, not a curated record. The transcript is spliced from 3 exons. Lineage: Eukaryota; Metazoa; Arthropoda; Collembola; Entomobryomorpha; Isotomidae.